Molecule: small nucleolar RNA, 136 nt
Organism: Bufo bufo (common toad)
Lineage: Eukaryota; Metazoa; Chordata; Amphibia; Anura; Bufonidae
Source: RefSeq, a predicted model, not a curated record
CAGGCCCUGAAUCAAGGCUUAUGGCUUGUUGUAGCCGUGGGUUUCAAGCAGGUGCCUAUAUGAACUCUUCCUGUGGUCUGUUAGCUGUGCCGUUCACACUACAUAGGCCCAGCUAAUUCAGUUGGAAGAAACAAGU